RNAcentral lists this ribosomal RNA (425 nucleotides) under uncultured bacterium. RNAcentral describes it as "bacterial SSU rRNA". It matches the Rfam family "Bacterial small subunit ribosomal RNA", at positions 355 to 771 of the family's 1533-position model. The record is from RNAcentral.
UGGGGAAUAUUGGACAAUGGGGGAAACCCUGACGCAGCAACGCCGCGUGAGGGAUGAAGGCCUUCGGGUCGUAAACCUCUGUCGGGAGGGAAGAAUGUCCCUGGGGUGAACAAUCCCGGGGGUUGACGGUACCUCUAGAGGAAGCGCCGGCUAACUCCGUGCCAGCAGCCGCGGUAAUACGGAGGGCGCAAGCGUUGUUCGGAAUCAUUGGGCGUAAAGCGCGUGUAGGCGGCUUGGCAAGUCGAGUGUGAAAGCCCGGGGCUCAACCCCGGAAGGUCGCUCGAAACUGCCUCGCUCGAGUCCCGGAGAGGAAGGCGGAAUUCCCGGUGUAGAGGUGAAAUUCGUAGAUAUCGGGAGGAACACCAGCGGCGAAGGCGGCCUUCUGGACGGUGACUGACGCUGAGACGCGAAAGCGUGGGGAGCAA